RNAcentral lists this ribosomal RNA (253 nucleotides) under uncultured bacterium. Its description in RNAcentral is "partial 16S ribosomal RNA". It matches the Rfam family "Bacterial small subunit ribosomal RNA", at positions 524 to 776 of the family's 1533-position model. The record is from RNAcentral.
UACGUAGGGUGCAGGCGUUAAUCGGAAUUACUGGGCGUAAAGCGUGCGCAGGCGGUUCUCCAAGUCCGUUGUGAAAGCCCCGGGCUCAACCUGGGAAUGGCAGUGGAAACUAGGGGACUGGAAUCUGGCAGAGGGGGGUGGAAUGCCGCGUGUAGCAGUGAAAUGCGUAGAGAUGCGGCGGAACACCGAUGGCGAAGGCAGCCCCCUGGGCUGAGAUUGACGCUCAGGCACGAAAGCGUGGGGAGCAAACAGG